UGGGGGAUAUUGCACAAUGGGGGAAACCCUGAUGCAGCGACGCCGCGUGGACGAAGAAGUAUCUCGGUAUGUAAAGUCCUAUCAGUAGGGAAGAAGAAAUGACGGUACCUGACUAAGAAGCCCCGGCUAACUACGUGCCAGCAGCCGCGGUAAUACGUAGGGGCAAGCGUUAUCCGGAUUUACUGGGUGUAAAGGGAGCGUAGACGGAGCAGCAAGUCUGAUGUGAAAAGGCAGGGGCUCAACCCCUGACUGCAUUGGAAACUGUUGAUCUUGAGUACCGGAGGGGUAAGCGGAAUUCCUAGUGUAGCGGUGAAAUGCGUAGAUAUUAGGAGGAACACCAGUGGCGAAGGCGGCUUACUGGACGGUAACUGACGUUGAGGCUCGAAAAGCGUGGGGAGCAAACAGGAUUAGAUACCC
This 417-nucleotide ribosomal RNA is filed under the name uncultured bacterium. RNAcentral's name for it is "bacterial SSU rRNA". It matches the Rfam family "Bacterial small subunit ribosomal RNA", at positions 355 to 787 of the family's 1533-position model. The record is from RNAcentral.